GGAGGAAUACCCAAGUCUGGCUGAAGGGAUCGGUCUUGAAAACCGACAGNNGGGCUUAACGGCUCGCGGGGGUUCGAAUCCCUCUUCCUCCGCCA
This 95-nucleotide transfer RNA is filed under the name Staphylococcus pseudintermedius. RNAcentral describes it as "tRNA-Ser". It matches the Rfam family "tRNA". From Rfam's summary of the family: Transfer RNA (tRNA) molecules are approximately 80 nucleotides in length. The record is from RNAcentral. Lineage: Bacteria; Bacillati; Bacillota; Bacilli; Caryophanales; Staphylococcaceae.